UAGAAAUACAAUUAAUUUUACAUUGAUUUUUAAGGAGUAACAAGAUUUUAUUUUCAUUUUAAUAACUGAUAUUUAGAUUCGUUUGACACACACAACCACAAUCUGCAGAAGAGUUGUUUCUUCCUUUCCAUCUUUGUUGUUUAUAUUCUUUCUCUGAUUCUGCUGUCCAGGAUCUUCUGUACAGCGUAGAAUAGAAGCAGUGAGAGUUGGCAUUCCUUGUCUUGUUUCUGACUUUAAAGCAAAGGCUUUUAAAUGUCUCACCAUUGAAUAUGUGUGCUCUACGUUUUUUGGUAGAUAUUCUUCAUCAAUCUGAAGAAAUUCCCUUUUCUUCUUAGAUUGCCAACUAUGAAUGUUGUUAUGGGCUGAAGUGCUCCCACCUCCAAAUUCGUAUGUUCAAGCCUUAACUCCCAGUACUUCAGAAAGUAGUUGUAUAUGGAGACAGGGCCUUUAAAGAGGUGAUUAAGUUAAAAUGAGGUCGUUAGGGGAGGUCCUAAGCCAAUCUGACUGGAGCUGGAGCCCUUAUAAGGAGAGGAGAUUAGGAUGCAGAGAGAGCUAGGGACAUCACGGGCGGAACGGGGAGGAACGACCACGUGAGGACACAGGGAGGAGGCAGCUGUCUGUAGGCUAAGGAGAGAGGCCUCAGAAGAAACCAACUCUGCAAUAGUUUUAAGUGAGGUUUCAGCAUGUUGAUCACGGGGCCAGGUGGAUUUGUUAAUUUGUCUUCCCACACUCAGAGCUGACCAGAUCAGGAGGUAUGACCAGCAUUUGCUUCCUGGAGAACCCAACCUGCCACAACAGGAAACAUUUAGAUCCUACAAAGUCAGCUGGGAAGAGAAGGAAUUCAGAAAAAAGAAUGAAACACUGAAAACUGUAUAUCAAAUAAGAAGAAUGAUGUGGAUUGUCGACUGGGAGACUAUAAAACCCAUCACUGAGCUCUUCAGGUCACAGAUUUUCCCUAUGGCAAGAACAAAGGCCCAUCAGGUAAAGGUGCAACUUCCCUCCCCCUCCCAACACUGGCGUCUCCUUAAGGAUUAAGCAUCUUUCCUUAGGCUAGAAACUGAUUGCUGCACUCACCUGUGACCGCCCAGCUCAAGACAAUAGACUUGCCUCCUGCUACGCCCAUGAAGAUAGCAGACCCACUACCUGCUGUGUCCAUCAAGCGCUGUGCAGACAGGGCAAUCUUGUGACUAUUGUGGGAGGGACAUUUCAAUCAUAGUGAAACACCCUCUUUGAGGGUAUAUAACCCACCUAUGUACCCCCAUUUCUUUGGAGUGCUCUGUUCCUUUGUGGAAAGACUCUCCCGGGUUAUAAUCCUAAGAUUUAAGCUCAGAAUAAAC
Molecule: long non-coding RNA, 1337 nt
Filed under: Equus asinus (donkey)
Lineage: Eukaryota; Metazoa; Chordata; Mammalia; Perissodactyla; Equidae
Description: lncRNA (ENSEASG00005038493.1)
Source: RNAcentral